Molecule: transfer RNA, 72 nt
Filed under: Saprospiraceae bacterium
Lineage: Bacteria; Pseudomonadati; Bacteroidota; Saprospiria; Saprospirales; Saprospiraceae
Description: tRNA-Gly
Rfam family: tRNA
About the family: Transfer RNA (tRNA) molecules are approximately 80 nucleotides in length.
Source: RNAcentral
GCGGAAGUAGCUCAGUUGGUGAGCACAACCUUGCCAAGGUUGGGGUCGCGAGUUCGAGUCUCGUUUUCCGCU